GCCUAGGAAUCUGCCUAGUAGUGGGGGAUAACGUCCGGAAACGGGCGCUAAUACCGCAUACGUCCUACGGGAGAAAGUGGGGGAUCUUCGGACCUCACGCUAUUAGAUGAGCCUAGGUCGGAUUAGCUAGUUGGUGAGGUAAUGGCUCACCAAGGCGACGAUCCGUAACUGGUCUGAGAGGAUGAUCAGUCACACUGGAACUGAGACACGGUCCAGACUCCUACGGGAGGCAGCAGUGGGGAAUAUUGGACAAUGGGCGAAAGCCUGAUCCAGCCAUGCCGCGUGUGUGAAGAAGGUCUUCGGAUUGUAAAGCACUUUAAGUUGGGAGGAAGGGCAGUUACCUAAUACGUGAUUGUUUUGACGUUACCGACAGAAUAAGCACCGGCUAACUCUGUGCCAGCAGCCGCGGUAAUACAGAGGGUGCAAGCGUUAAUCGGAAUUACUGGGCGUAAAGCGCGCGUAGGUGGUUUGUUAAGUUGGAUGUGAAAGCCCCGGGCUCAACCUGGGAACUGCAUCCAAAACUGGCAAGCUAGAGUAUGGUAGAGGGUGGUGGAAUUUCCUGUGUA
RNAcentral lists this ribosomal RNA (566 nucleotides) under Pseudomonas fluorescens. RNAcentral's name for it is "bacterial SSU rRNA". It matches the Rfam family "Bacterial small subunit ribosomal RNA", at positions 115 to 677 of the family's 1533-position model. Lineage: Bacteria; Pseudomonadati; Pseudomonadota; Gammaproteobacteria; Pseudomonadales; Pseudomonadaceae. The record is from RNAcentral. RNAcentral also lists the same sequence under 1 other name.